GACGAACGCUGGCGGCGUGCUUAACACAUGCAAGUCGAACGGAAAGGCCCUGCUUUUGUGGGGUGCUCGAGUGGCGAACGGGUGAGUAACACGUGAGUAACCUGCCCUUGACUUUGGGAUAACUUCAGGAAACUGGGGCUAAUACCGGAUAGGAGCUCCUGCUGCAUGGUGGGGGUUGGAAAGUUUCGGCGGUUGGGGAUGGACUCGCGGCUUAUCAGCUUGUUGGUGGGGUAGUUGCUUACCAAGGCUUUGACGGGUAGCCGGCCUGAGAGGGUGGCCGGCCACAUUGGGACUGAGAUACGGCCCAGACUCCUACGGGAGGCAGCAGUGGGGAAUAUUGCACAAUGGGCGGAAGCCUGAUGCAGCAACGCCGCGUGCGGGAUGACGGCCUUCGGGUUGUAAACCGCUUUCGCCUGUGACGAAGCGUGAGUGACGGUAAUGGGUAAAGAAGCACCGGCUAACUACGUG
RNAcentral lists this ribosomal RNA (468 nucleotides) under uncultured bacterium. RNAcentral describes it as "partial 16S ribosomal RNA". It matches the Rfam family "Bacterial small subunit ribosomal RNA", at positions 28 to 507 of the family's 1533-position model. The record is from RNAcentral.